This 454-nucleotide ribosomal RNA is filed under the name Eimeria sp. Its description in RNAcentral is "bacterial SSU rRNA". It matches the Rfam family "Eukaryotic small subunit ribosomal RNA", at positions 391 to 855 of the family's 1831-position model. The record is from RNAcentral. Lineage: Eukaryota; Apicomplexa; Conoidasida; Eucoccidiorida; Eimeriidae.
GGAGCCUGAGAAACGGCUACCACAUCUAAGGAAGGCAGCAGGCGCGCAAAUUACCCAAUGAAAACAGUUUCGAGGUAGUGACGAGAAAUAACAAUACAGGGCAUCAAAUGUCUUGUAAUUGGAAUGACUUAAAUCCAAACCCCUUUCGGAGUAACAAUUGGAGGGCAAGUCUGGUGCCAGCAGCCGCGGUAAUUCCAGCUCCAAUAGCGUAUAUUAGCGUUGUUGCAGUUAAAAAGCUCGUAGUUGUAUUUCUGCUGGGUUCGGCCGGUGCGCUUUUGUGUAACCGUGUUUCCCCCAGCAUUUUCGCGGUAGCUUUCCUUCCUUAAUCGGUUGGUUUGUAUUUCCGCGACUUUUACUUUGAGAAAAACAGAGUGUUUCAAGCAGGCUUUUGCCUUGAAUACUGCANCAUGGAAUAAUAAGAUAGGACUUUGGUUUUAUUUUGUUGGUUCUAGAA